GGAGGCGCAUCUCGUCUGGUGACGGGCGCGGUCUUCAAAACCGUUCUGUGAGCCUGUGAGAGCAGGCUCAGGUAGGUUCGAUUCCUACACGCCUCCGCCA
RNAcentral lists this transfer RNA (100 nucleotides) under Acidobacteriota bacterium. RNAcentral's name for it is "tRNA-Sec". It matches the Rfam family "Selenocysteine transfer RNA". Lineage: Bacteria; Pseudomonadati; Acidobacteriota. The record is from RNAcentral.